This 474-nucleotide ribosomal RNA is filed under the name uncultured bacterium. RNAcentral describes it as "partial 16S ribosomal RNA". It matches the Rfam family "Bacterial small subunit ribosomal RNA", at positions 28 to 507 of the family's 1533-position model. The record is from RNAcentral.
GAUGAACGCUAGCGGCAGGCCUAACACAUGCAAGUCGAGGGAGGAGCUUUCGGGCUUCGACCGGCGUACGGGUGCGUAACGCGUAUACAAUCUGCCUUUCACAUAGGGAUAGCCCGAAGAAAUUUGGAUUAAUACCUAAUGGUAUAUAGGAGUGGCAUCACAUUUAUAUUAAAGCUGAGGCGGUGAAAGAUGAGUAUGCGUUCUAUUAGCUAGUUGGAGAGGUAACGGCUCCCCAAGGCGACGAUAGAUAGGGGUUCUGAGAGGGAUAUCCCCCACACUGGUACUGAGAUACGGACCAGACUCCUACGGGAGGCAGCAGUGAGGAAUAUUGGACAAUGGUCGGAAGACUGAUCCGGCCAUCCCGCGUGCAGGAAGACGGCCUUAGGGGUUGUAAACUGCUUUUGCAGGGGAAGAAUAAGGACUACGAGUAGUUUGAUGACGGUACUCUGCGAAUAAGCAUCGGCUAACUCCGUG